Molecule: long non-coding RNA, 2371 nt
Organism: Cavia porcellus (domestic guinea pig)
Lineage: Eukaryota; Metazoa; Chordata; Mammalia; Rodentia; Caviidae
Exons: 2
Source: RefSeq, a predicted model, not a curated record
GCUCUGCUACCGCUUUGGGAGCAAGCUGGCCCCAAGGAACUUGUUAACAUCCAUGUGCCUUUUUCCCUUUCUGAUCUAUCUCAGAUUACCCUUAAAUUAGGUAGCCUCUCUGUUGACCCACAGAAUUAUAUCAGGCAAUUUAAAUUUAUUAUUAAUUGUUAUGAUUUACAUCUUAAGGACGUUUAUAAUGACUCUAGGCCUAUAGCUGUGCCAGAGCAGGACAAGCAUACUAACUAUAACAAACUUUUAAAACAGGUCCAGGAAGCUAAUCAAAACCGAGCUGUGUUCCUAAAUUGGCUUUCUAAUCCUCAAGCCCUGCAAGCAGUUCCAGCUUCUCGCGCUGUGUCAGGCCGCCUCCCAGCCCCUCCCCCAUGCGCCGUCCCAGCCCCUCCCUCCCCCAUGCCGCCGCUGCCACCUUACACGUUUCCGGGGGCAAUCCGAGCCCGCCCCUGCGCGCUAUAUCCCAGUGCUUGCCCCACCCACUGGGCGUGCUCUGCUGGAGCGCAGAGAAACAGCAGCUCAGUGGCUCUGCUCAGGCAUGCUUUUUUUUACAAUUUGGCUCCGCUCAAAAGAUGCUUUUUUAUUACAAUUCUCAAACCAUUUAAUCAAAGUUACUGGCCACCUGAUAAUUUUACCAGCCUUGUUUAUCAAUCAAAGCCUUCAUCAAUCUUCUGUUUAACAACUAAGGUUAUAAAUUCCUUUUUGCUGGGAACCACUAGCUCUAUUUCAAGACAAGGGUUUUCUUCAAAGUUUUAUUUUAUUUGUCUUGGUUCAUACUACUGCAAAUAACAACUUUAAAAGUAAAUGUGUUCAGAAUUUGACAGUAUUAGAUCAGUUUUGAUUGAUUUAUUCAUAAGAUUGCUAAACCUUUACUGCAAAAUGUUUCCAUUAAAGCCUUGUUUGGCAGACUAAAGCUUUUUUGUUAAUUCUACGUGUCACCCUAUAAAAAAAGCGGUAUGCCAUCCAGAUAAAGCCUGCUCUCUAAUCCAAAAUGCCAAUAUUAAAUUCCUGCAUACUUACUUAAUUCUACUAUAGUCCAAAUCCCAAACAAAAAGGCAAAACUUGACCUUCAAACCUUAGAGAGAUCUUAAUAUGGUUUUUCAUAUUUUUAACACUUGUGACACUUGGAGUUCUGAGACAGGUAAACCUACACAAGGUGGAGCUGCCUGCCCCCUCCAUGGACCACGCUCAAAUGCAGCAGAAGACGCCCCAUCCUGGCAUUCUUUGAGACCUUACUCCAGGGCUACUGGACUGUCCUAGCCACCAGAGAGUGGGUAAGUCAUCCUAAGUUCUAGCCCUGACAGGAAAUGUCGACACUGCCAAAUUCGUCACCGACAGAAAAUCGCUGCUGAAGACUGAGGAAGUUCAGGGCAACAACAGCCCCCUUUAAGGUGUCCGUCUCAGAUUCCAAGUCGCACUAAAGUCUCAGGGUCAUCUCAUCUUCUGUCGCCUACUCGUCUCCGUCUCACAAAGGCCUCGCAGCCACAGUUAACAGGCUAAGUCAUGUUUUGUUAUCCAUUUUGGUUCCUAAUUUCUUACAUUCUAUUAAUGAUCAUUUUUACAGCAGGACUCUUUAACAGUAUUGCCUACAGACUCCAACAUCAUGUAUACCAGAGACAAGCCUUACCAACCUACCGUCUUAACUUUUAUGCUUUCAGAUGGGGGAGUAAUCACCUCUCAUAACUCCACUCCUCCUAACCCCACAUUUAAUUUUCAGAAUUCUGCCUUACUGUGGAAAUGUUUCUACCUCAACAUGGUCCUGAUAGAAUGAUAUGUCUAAAUCAAAGGCACCUUUCCCUCUACCUCACCUGGGUCCUUAAAUAUGACAGUGCCAUGUCUCCUCAUAACAUUUUGUCUCUUUGUUUUUCCAGUCUGACAUACGUGCAUUCACCAGUGAAGUUGUCCUGGCUAAAACACCUGGCAGCAGCGUCUACCUGGGCAUCAACCUUCAUCCCGUCGACUCCCCUAGGCUCCAGUACAGCGCCCUUUGCCAGCAGGAAGUAGUUAAAGAGAGAAAUCUUCGCCCCUUUUCAUAAUAAUAACCAUAAGACGGGCUAUGAAAGGUUUUGGCCCAGGCAGGACACUGUAGCCAGGAAAGCCACAACCGGAAGCAGGAAGCCCCAUCUUGCCCUGCCCCUAGGAAGUUACCUGUGAUGCCAUCUUCCCGCCCCUGGGAAUUUACAUAUGGCACCAAACCUAGGACCAAUGGGCUACCUGUGUAUCCCUAAUGCCCGCCUUAGGUUCCACCCCAAACCGAGGCUAUUUACAGGCCCCCACGCCACGUGUCCGCCAGAGAGAUCGCCGGACACCAGCGGUGGGGUGCCGGUCAUCUCUCUCCGUGUUCUCAGAAUAAAGGCCGCUUUUUAUUUUA